Molecule: long non-coding RNA, 521 nt
Organism: Coffea eugenioides
Lineage: Eukaryota; Viridiplantae; Streptophyta; Magnoliopsida; Gentianales; Rubiaceae
Exons: 3
Source: RefSeq, a predicted model, not a curated record
GAUGCCAUUUGUUUCCUUGUUUAACUUCUACAGUACAGUCUCCUUGCUUCCCUAGUUCUCUCCUUUCUUCACAGUAUCAGUCUAUUCUCCGAAGCGGUUUGCUCCUCUAGUUUUCUCCUUUCCUCGUAUCAGUCUACUUUCCUUUAUUUGCUACUUUUGUCUGCUGGAAGCCACGAGGACUUCUCUCUUACUGCAGAUAUCAGAGUACUCUGUGCUUCUUCUUUCGCCUUCUGAAAUGCAGGAAAAACUAUAGUGAGAUAACAAUGUUUGCCGAGCCAAGGUCACUCCUUCAGACAGAUCUUUAACGUGUCCGCUAACCAAGAUGGCUGCUGCUGCAUUUAGCACCUAACAGUUUCACAAGCAAGAUGGGUUACAAAAUCAUGGCAAGUGAAACAAGGUAAACCUAAGGUGAAAAAUAUGUCCUAGUGUUAUUUCAUUGGUGCAAAAUUUGAUUGACAGAUUUAUUAAGACCGCUCCGAAUUAGAACAUAGAGUGAUUAAUCCUUAUAAAGUACUUACAAA